GCGAAAACUUUACAAUGCUGGCAACAGCGAUAAGGGAACCUCGAGUGCCAGGUUGCAAAUCUGGCUGUCGAGAUGCCUAAAAAGCAUUUCAUAGCAAGGGCCGGGCAAGACCGGUGCCAGCCGCCGCGGUAACACCGGCGGCUCGAGUGGUAACCGUUAUUAUUGGGUCUAAAGGGUCUGUAGCCGGCCGGAUAAGUCUCUUGAGAAAUCUGGCAGCUUAACUGUCAGGCUUUCAGGAGAUACUGUCUGGCUCGAGGCCGGGAGAGGUGAGAGGUACUUCAGGGGUAGGGGUGAAAUCUUGUAAUCCUUGAAGGACUACCAGUGGCGAAGGCGUCUCACCAGAACGGACCUGACGGCAAGGGACGAAAGCUAGGGGCACGAACC
RNAcentral lists this ribosomal RNA (384 nucleotides) under uncultured prokaryote. Its description in RNAcentral is "bacterial SSU rRNA". It matches the Rfam family "Archaeal small subunit ribosomal RNA", at positions 341 to 725 of the family's 1478-position model. The record is from RNAcentral.